Molecule: long non-coding RNA, 614 nt
Filed under: Helianthus annuus (common sunflower)
Lineage: Eukaryota; Viridiplantae; Streptophyta; Magnoliopsida; Asterales; Asteraceae
Description: hypothetical non coding rna
Source: RNAcentral
ACUCAUCUCAUAUUUCAUUCUCUAACUCUCAAAACCUAAACCACCUCCAUCCCACCACCACACCUCCACCAUCAAAACCACCGUCGCCACUGUACAUCCACCGUCACCACCACCACUACACCGUCACCACCACAAAACCCAUCACCGCUACACCUCCACCAUCAACACCACCGUCGCCGUCGCCACUGCACCUCCACCGUCACCACCAUUACACCGUCACCGCCACAACACCCACCACCGCUACACCUCCACCGUCACCACCAUCACCACUGCACCUCCAUCAACACCUCCACCAUCAACACCACAACACCCACCACCGCUACAAUGGAUGAUCAGAUCUUUGGGGGUUUUGUUCUUCAAUUGGUUUCUGACGAAAUUAGGUAAGAUGAUGAUACCAGGUGAGGGGCAGAUGGUUGUAGCAAGAUCUUGAAGAAGGAAGGAUUAUGUCGAUGAGCCAUUCAAAGUUUGCACAGAUUCAAGAGUGGGUAUAGUAUUGAUUGUAUGCAUCUUUUCUCUAUUUGAUGAACAAUUUGGAAUUGAAUUGGGUGUUUAUAUUUCUUCAUACUCGAGAAUAAAAUGAUACCAUUCAGUGAUAUUUUGAGUUGAAAUAUUUU